CCUACGGGAGGCAGCAGUGAGGAAUAUUGGUCAAUGGGCGAGAGCCUGAACCAGCCAAGUCGCGUGAAGGAUGACGGCCCUACGGGUUGUAAACUUCUUUUGUCAGGGAGCAAUUGAGUCCACGUGUGGGCUUAGCGAGAGUACCUGAAGAAAAAGCAUCGGCUAACUCCGUGCCAGCAGCCGCGGUAAUACGGAGGAUGCGAGCGUUAUCCGGAUUUAUUGGGUUUAAAGGGUGCGUAGGCGGAAUAUCAAGUCAGCGGUAAAAAUUCGGGGCUCAACCCGGGCCGGCCGUUGAAACUGGGGAGCUUGAGUGGGCGAGAAGUAUGCGGAAUGCGUGGUGUAGCGGUGAAAUGCAUAGAUAUCACGCAGAACUCCGAUUGCGAAGGCAGCAUACCGGCGCCCAACUGACGCUGAGGCACGAAAGCGUGGGGAUCGAACAGGAUUAGAUACCCCGGUAGUC
RNAcentral lists this ribosomal RNA (460 nucleotides) under uncultured bacterium. Its description in RNAcentral is "partial 16S ribosomal RNA". It matches the Rfam family "Bacterial small subunit ribosomal RNA", at positions 338 to 795 of the family's 1533-position model. The record is from RNAcentral.